UUUCUAUUCUAUUAGAAAUAGAAGUGAAGGUGGUUAAUCAGGAAAUAGAAGAAUACAUUGGGUUGAAUCUGAAACAAUCUGAGACCAGUGAGUAUGAAAGUGUUAUUGUUGAUUAGAGAUUCGCAGUAUCUUAUUUUAAGGAAUAUGAAACAUGUGUGCUCUUGCUGAAUCAAAUUCGAAAGGAUGUUUGUUGAUUUUCAAAAAUGCAGAUGGAAGAAUAGGUCCUGUUGCAGAUAAUGAAGAUGUGGAAGAACUUUUCUCGCAGUGCGAUCCUGAUUUUCGGGUUCGUAAAUUCUAUGAAUGUUGAAGAUGAGGAAGAUGUCGUAUCUAGAAGUAUAACGAGAAUCCAUACUUUACAAACUGAAGUCUCACAAAGAGAAUCACAUUCUGUAAAUAUGGAACUACCAAUUUAAGUGUUGUUAAGAUCGACUGGAAGGAUGGCAUGGUCGCUCUUCUAGACAACGAGACACCUGUGAGAAAAGAUCUAUUUCUUGCAUCAGUGAAUCAUAUGCAGAGGUAGUGAUGUGCGAUCUUAGACCAAGUUCACAGCUGAAGUCGGCAUGUAAUUCCGCACUAAUGAAAGUCACAGUUGAGUAUUUGUUCUUAAUCUGCCUGUAUUUGAUUGUUGUCGGCUGGAUUUCCUUAAGGAUAUACUCUGAUCCAUGUUUCUUUUACAGUCAUUCUUUGAUUUGGAGAACACAAACAAUCAACUUAAAAGUGAAUUUAAAGGACCUUUACCAUAACUUAGCAGUGAUAGGAAACACAGUCUCUGUGUUUUUACUAUGUUUAUCAGUUUUCACAAUUCACAAAUCCGAUACUUGUCUCAUUAUCUUGCUGCCAACAUCAUAUCAAUAGCUAAUAGCAACUGCGCAACUUUAACAUUAUUUGCAUCUAAACUGUGCAAGACAACUACAUUAAAGUUUGGCAAGGCUAUUUGGGGAUGAGGCAAACCAGGACACUCGACUCCGAGAAAAGCAAUUUGGUGCUUCUAGGUAUUGAGAUUGUGCAGCAGUUCGCAGGGCCAUGCGGGAUGGUAUUGUUGCUGGCUUGCUGCUAAUACUGCAGCUGAAUAAGCAUUGAUACUUGUUAGCCUAGAAAACUCUAAGAAACUCCUACUAAACUCCCCUCAUAGUUUUCUAAAUGUUCUCUUUUAAUGUAUGUGAUAAUACCUUGUCAUUUUCAAUUUUGGCUUGUAAUUUUUUCUGGUGAAUAAUGGUGAAAUGGACUGAUUUUUCCUGAAAUCUGUGUAAUUUCAAGUCGACGAACAACAAUUGUUGCUUAAUAUUCCAACUAACUGAACAAGGUUCCAGACCCACUAUAUCUACUUGAUGCAGGUGCUUGCUUUUAAAUAUGGAAGGCACUAUAAAGUUAGGGUAAACACUA
Molecule: long non-coding RNA, 1383 nt
Organism: Papaver somniferum (opium poppy)
Lineage: Eukaryota; Viridiplantae; Streptophyta; Magnoliopsida; Ranunculales; Papaveraceae
Exons: 8
Source: RefSeq, a predicted model, not a curated record